GACGAACGCUGGCGGCGUGCUUAACACAUGCAAGUCGAACGCUGAAGCUCAGCUUGCUGGGUGGAUGAGUGGCGAACGGGUGAGUAACACGUGAGUAACCUGCCCUCUUCUUUGGGAUAACGCCCGGAAACGGGUGCUAAUACUGGAUAUUCACUGAUUCUCGCAUGGGGGUUGGUGGAAAGGUUUUUUCUGGUGGGGGAUGGGCUCGCGGCCUAUCAGCUUGUUGGUGGGGUGAUGGCCUACCAAGGCUUUGACGGGUAGCCGGCCUGAGAGGGUGACCGGUCACAUUGGGACUGAGAUACGGCCCAGACUCCUACGGGAGGCAGCAGUGGGGAAUAUUGCACAAUGGGCGAAAGCCUGAUGCAGCGACGCCGCGUGAGGGAUGGAGGCCUUCGGGUUGUAAAACUCUUUCGCUCAUGGUCAAGCCGCAGCGUUGGGUUGUGGUGAGGGUAGUGGGUAAAGAAGCGCCGGCUAACUACGUG
This 482-nucleotide ribosomal RNA is filed under the name uncultured bacterium. RNAcentral's name for it is "partial 16S ribosomal RNA". It matches the Rfam family "Bacterial small subunit ribosomal RNA", at positions 28 to 507 of the family's 1533-position model. The record is from RNAcentral.